AAAACACUUUUCCCAAAACACGGUGCAGUAUAAUGUGGACCUGAGCAAACAGCCCGCUCUGCUAGGGUUGAGGAGAAAUGUAAAAGCUUACAGCACCUGGUAUUCCCAGGCGGUCUCCCAUCCAAGUACUAACCAGGCCCGACCCUGCUUAGCUUCCGAGAUCAGACGAGAUCGGGCGUGCUCAGGGUGGUAUGGCCGUAAGCGAGAGCAGAGAGUGACAGGAGCUCUUUUAAGCUUGGCAAGCCACGCCGUUGCAUCCACUUGCCUGAAUGUGGCGUUUAUAAAGGACUUAGAACAUUUUGGGAGGUACACAGAAGGUGGCCAUUUUGGCCUUAAACACAAUAUCCCCUUUCUUGUAUUUCGCUGUCCCUUUAAACAAAACAACUAGAAAGAAGCCAAAAUCAUUACUUGUAAUGUGUCACCGACCAUAGGCAUGAACUGUGAACAAAGCAAAGGCAGCACUGUGACUGAAAACAGAAAAUUCUUGCAGGUAAUAGCGUCUGUUGUCUAAGAACGAUGCAAUUAUAGAGUUAACAAAUAAUUGAACAAUCUAGGUAAAAUGUCAAAUACAUAAAACAGAAGUAAUAAAACAAUAGCUAUUAAUUGCAGAAGAUAGGUCAUAAAUCAUAUAAUAACUGCAUAGAAAUAAGAAAAAAAAACACUUUUCCCAUAACACGGUGCAGUAUAAUGUAGACCUGAGCAAACAGCCCGCUCUGCUAGGGUUGAGGAGAAAUGUAAAAGCUUACAGCACCUGGUAUUCCCAGGCGGUCUCCCAUCCAAGUACUAACCAGGCCCGACCCUGCUUAGCUUCCGAGAUCAGACGAGAUCGGGCGUGCUCAGGGUGGUAUGGCCGUAAGCGAGAGCAGAGAGUGACAGGAGCUCUUUUAAGCUUGGCAAGCCACGCCGUUGCAUCCACUUGCCUGAAUGUGGCGUUUAUAAAGGACUUAGAACAUUUUGGGAUGUACACAGAAGGUGGCCAUUUUGGCCUUAAACACAAUAUCCCCUUUUUUGUAUUUCGCUGUCCCUUUAAACAAAACAACUAGAGAAGAAGCCAAAAUCAUUACUUUGUAAUGUGUCACCGACCAUAGGCAUGAACUGUGAACAAAGCAAAGGCAGCACUGUGACUGAAAACAGAAAAUUCUUGCAGGUAAUAGCGUCUGUUGUCUAAGAACGAUGCAAUUAUAGAGUUAACAAAUAAUUGAACAAUCUAGGUAAAAUGUCAAAUACAUAAAACAGAAGUAAUAAAAACAAUAGCUAUUAAUUGCA
Molecule: long non-coding RNA, 1266 nt
Filed under: Betta splendens (Siamese fighting fish)
Lineage: Eukaryota; Metazoa; Chordata; Actinopteri; Anabantiformes; Osphronemidae
Description: lncRNA (ENSBSLG00000002866.1)
Source: RNAcentral